GAAAUGCGAUACCUGGUGUGAAUUGCAGAAUCCCGUGAACCAUCGAGUCUUUGAACGCAAGUUGCGCCCGAGGCCAUCCGGCUAAGGGCACGCCUGCCUGGGCGUCACGCUUUCGACGCUUCGUCGUUGCCCCCUCGGGGGGUGUGGGCGAACGUGGAGGAUGGCCCCCCGUGCCGGAAAGGUGCGGUUGGCCGAAGAGCGGGCCGUCGGUGGUUGUCGAACACGACGCGUGGUGGAUGCCUUGUGCGAGCCGUACGUCGUGCCUUCGGGACCCGGGCGAGGCCUCGAGGACCCAAGUCGUGGUGCGAGUCGAUGCCACGGACCGCGACCCCAGGUCAGGUGGGGCUACCCGCUGAGUUUAA
RNAcentral lists this unclassified non-coding RNA (362 nucleotides) under uncultured fungus. RNAcentral describes it as "sequence contains ITS1". The stretch from base 1 to 107 matches the Rfam family "5.8S ribosomal RNA", at positions 50 to 154 of the family's 154-position model. The record is from RNAcentral. Lineage: Eukaryota; Fungi.